This 497-nucleotide ribosomal RNA is filed under the name uncultured bacterium. RNAcentral's name for it is "partial 16S ribosomal RNA". It matches the Rfam family "Bacterial small subunit ribosomal RNA", at positions 28 to 507 of the family's 1533-position model. The record is from RNAcentral.
GAUGAACGCUGGCGGCGUGCCUAAUACAUGCAAGUCGAGCGAACAGACGAGGAGCUUGCUCCUCUGACGUUAGCGGCGGACGGGUGAGUAACACGUGGAUAACCUACCUAUAAGACUGGUAUAACUUCGGGAAACCGGAGCUAAUACCGUAUAAUAUAUUGAACCGCAUGGUUCAAUAGUGAAAUACGGUUUUGCUGUCACUUAUAGAUGGAUCCGCGCCGCAUUAGCUAGUUGGUAAGGUAACGGCUUACCAAGGCAACGAUGCGUAGCCGACCUGAGAGGGUGAUCGGCCACACUGGAACUGAGACACGGUCCAGACUCCUACGGGAGGCAGCAGUAGGGAAUCUUCCGCAAUGGGCGAAAGCCUGACGGAGCAACGCCGCGUGAGUGAUGAAGGUCUUCGGAUCGUAAAACUCUGUUAUUAGGGAAGAACAAAUGUGUAAGUAAAUAUGCACGUAUUGACGGUACCUAAUCAGAAAGCCACGGCUAACUACGUG